Molecule: ribosomal RNA, 426 nt
Filed under: uncultured bacterium
Lineage: Bacteria
Description: bacterial SSU rRNA
Rfam family: Bacterial small subunit ribosomal RNA
Source: RNAcentral
UGGGGAAUUUUGGACAAUGGGGGCAACCCUGAUCCAGCCAUGCCGCGUGCGGGAAGAAGGCCUUCGGGUUGUAAACCGCUUUUAGCCGGGAAGAAAAGGCACGGGUUAAUACUCCGUGUUCUUGACGGUACCGGCGGAAUAAGCACCGGCUAACUACGCGCCAGCAGCCGCGGUAAUACGUAGGGUGCGAGCGUUAAUCGGAAUUACUGGGCGUAAAGCGUGCGCAGGCGGUUCGUUAAGUUCGUUGUGAAAGCCCCGGGCUCAACCUGGGAACUGCAAUGGAAACUGGCGGGCUUGAAUGCGGCAGAGGGGGGUGGAAUUCCGCGUGUAGCAGUGAAAUGCGUAGAGAUGCGGAGGAACACCGAUGGCGAAGGCAGCCCCCUGGGCCGACAUUGACGCUCAGGCACGAAAGCGUGGGGAGCAAAC